This 24-nucleotide non-coding RNA is filed under the name Arabidopsis thaliana (thale cress). The record is from RNAcentral. Lineage: Eukaryota; Viridiplantae; Streptophyta; Magnoliopsida; Brassicales; Brassicaceae.
AACGUGUUUCUAGGAUAAAAUUAC